Molecule: ribosomal RNA, 253 nt
Filed under: uncultured bacterium
Lineage: Bacteria
Description: partial 16S ribosomal RNA
Rfam family: Bacterial small subunit ribosomal RNA
Source: RNAcentral
UACGUAGGGUGCAAGCGUUGUCCGGAAUUAUUGGGCGUAAAGAGCUCGUAGGCGGUCUGUCGCGUCGGCUGUGAAAACCCGGGGCUCAACCCCGGGCCUGCAGUCGAUGCGGGCAGACUAGAGUGCGGUAGGGGAGACUGGAAUUCCUGGUGUAGCGGUGAAAUGCGCAGAUAUCAGGAGGAACACCGGUGGCGAAGGCGGGUCUCUGGGCCGUAACUGACGCUGAGGAGCGAAAGCGUGGGGAGCGAACAGG